UACGUAGGGGGCGAGCGUUGUCCGGAUUCAUUGGGCGUAAAGAGCUCGUAGGCGGUUUGGUAAGUCGGGUGUGAAAACCCCAGGCUCAACCUGGGGACGCCACCUGAUACUGCUAUGACUUGAGUCUGGUAGGGGACCACGGAAUUCCUGGUGCAGCGGUGAAAUGCGCAGAUAUCAGGAGGAACACCGGUGGCGAAGGCGGCUACCUGGAUUGACCCUGACACUGAGGCGCGAGAGCGUGGGGAGCAAACAGG
This 254-nucleotide ribosomal RNA is filed under the name uncultured bacterium. Its description in RNAcentral is "partial 16S ribosomal RNA". It matches the Rfam family "Bacterial small subunit ribosomal RNA", at positions 524 to 776 of the family's 1533-position model. The record is from RNAcentral.